This 403-nucleotide ribosomal RNA is filed under the name bacterium. RNAcentral's name for it is "partial 16S ribosomal RNA". It matches the Rfam family "Bacterial small subunit ribosomal RNA", at positions 355 to 776 of the family's 1533-position model. The record is from RNAcentral.
UGGGGAAUAUUGCACAAUGGGGGAAACCCUGAUGCAGCGACGCCGCGUGAACGAAGAAGGUAUUCGUAUCGUAAAGUUCUGUCCUAUGGGAAGAUAAUGACAGUACCAUAGAAGAAAGCUCCGGCUAAAUACGUGCCAGCAGCCGCGGUAAUACGUAUGGAGCGAGCGUUGUCCGGAAUUAUUGGGCGUAAAGGGUACGCAGGCGGUUUAAUAAGUCGAAUGUUAAAGAUCGGGGCUCAACCCCGCAAAGCAUUGGAAACUGAUAAACUUGAGUAGUGGAGAGGAAAGUGGAAUUCCUAGUGUAGUGGUGAAAUACGUAGAUAUUAGGAGGAAUACCAGUAGCGUAGGCGACUUUCUGGACACAAACUGACGCUGAGGUACGAAAGCGUGGGGAGCAAACAGG